Molecule: small nuclear RNA, 164 nt
Organism: Ochotona princeps (American pika)
Lineage: Eukaryota; Metazoa; Chordata; Mammalia; Lagomorpha; Ochotonidae
Product: U1 spliceosomal RNA
Exons: 1
Source: RefSeq, a predicted model, not a curated record
AUACUUACCUGGCAGGGGAGAUACCGCGAUCACAAAGGUGUUUUUCCCAGGGCGAGACUCACCCAUUGCACUCCAGGCGUGCUGACCCCUGUGAUUUCCCCAAAUGUGGGAAACUCGACUGCAUAGUUUGUGGUAGUGGGGGGCUGCGUUCAUGCUCUCCCCUG